CCUUUGUCUCCUAACUCCAGGCCUUCGGGCAGGAGCCACCUCUCACCGCCGCCGCCCCUCCCCGUAAGGCAGGCGACGAACACGCGGAGUAUAAACAGGAAUAAUACGCGCUCCUCGGACAGGCCAGCGCGGCCGCACUAACGACUGAGGGGGCUGGGGAGGAGUGAGGGUACACAGCGAGUCUGCCGCGGGCUCAUGCGCGUUGCGCAGCGGAAGGGGCCGGGGGCCGCCGUCGGGCCGUGGCGCGCAUGCGCGACACCGGCGGCAGGGGCGAGCGGCGGCCGGUGGAGGUUUGCCGCGCUCUCGCUGUCCUUGUGCCUCCGCGCGCGCCGGGCUCGCCCUCCCGCCAUGUUGUUGUGAGCCCCUCGCGGCCGAAGGGGGGGCGGGGAGGCAGGAAGGAGCAGUGGCGAGAGGAGGAGGAGGCGGGGGGAGGAGGCGGGUGGUGGCGGGCCGGCGGGCGGGCAAGCAAGCAGACAGGCAGGCAGGCAGGCAGGGCUGUCCCAGCGCCCGCUCCGGCUCCAUCGCAGCAAACAGCGUCGCCGGCCAGCCCUGCUCUUUAAGGAUAAUGACUGCUUUCUGAGGGUGGAGCGAGAAGGCCAAACGCUUUUGGUAGUUGAUACCACACAAUGAAGUGUUAGCUUUUAAUUCUUCUUCAAGCUUGUCUGCGCAGACUACAAUAACAAAGUUGAGCAAAAUGCCAGCUGCCCUGAGUGGAUGGUGCUUACAACUAACAGUUUGGGGCUUAAUCUCCUUGGCAGUAGUUGUGCAAAGAUUUUUUUUUCUUUUUUGGCAUUGUUCAUUCCUCAUCUAUUUCAUUACUUCAGAUUGUAAUUCCUUGAGAGAAAAUUAAUAUACUCGGGACGUUUUAUAUUUGUUUUGGCUUACUGGUUGAAGCAAGAUGGCUUAACACCAAAAUGCAUAACGUGUUUUUUUUUUAUAUGUGAUGUGAUGAUCCCAAAAAUCAGCUGAUUUUUGGGAUGCUUUUUUUCUGAGCAGUGUAGGCAUUUAUGAGCUAUAUUAUAUAGGUCAUUGCAAAUGAGAAUCGGUGACACUUCUUAUUUUGCCUUUUUGCUUGUCACAUGCUGCAUGUUGACAAAAUACUUUUGGAUUUAUAUUAGUUUCUCCUUUACAGAAGUCUUUGUUGCAUCUCAAGUGAGGGAUCAGGCUUCUUUAGUUAAUGUCAGUUGAUGUUAUAGCUCUUCAGGUAUGUGGGAUAUGAAUGCAUUUGAAACCUAAUUACUACCCCAUGUUACCAUUUUUACAUAUGAAACAUAAUGUUCUAUUAUAUUUACUCAUGUAUAGGUUUAAAACCAAAUGCUAACAACAGUUGCAGUUUUGUUGAGAGCCUCAAAGAGUUAUUGUCUAUGUUCUUCUGGAAUGCAACUCAGUUUGUGUCAGUGCAAAUAUAAAUGUGUUAGACAGGUGGGGGAAGGAAACUCGAAUAAAAAGGGAAACGAUAAUUUUGUGGUGGUGUAGUUUGUGUUAUAUCUAUAAAAAUGACACUAAAUCACCUGACAGUUUUCUGAAGUGUUCAGGGAGUUGAAAAUUCAGAAUUUGUCCCAGCAGAAUAGUUCGUAUACAAAUGCAUGUGGGAAACUGCUUGAUAAUGAAGAUUCUGCAGUUUAUUAUGUGGAUGUUACACACUGGAAAGUCCAUGUUAUUUGAAUAGUAUUUUUUUUCUGCAUUAAUAGGGAAUGGUACUUUUUUUUUUUCUGUAACAUUACCCUGUAGUACUUAAUAUUUUCUUCUGUGUUAGGGAUAUUGGCACAGAGCUGAGGCAGUUAUGGUCAUAUCUGAUACCAUGGUUGAGCUAAUGGUGCAAGUAGUUGGCUGAAAAAGUCAGACUUGUCUGUCUCUUGAUGAGAAGAUGCCUCUUGUUAUGGCAGUAUAGAUAAAACCUUACGCAGUAGUAGUAGUAGUGCACAUUGGAAACUUUAGGUACAUGUUUUACUCCAGGUUUGCUCUCUCAGGUGUUUCUUUACAGUCUCCUCACUGGGCUGGAUAAUGCAGAUGCUUGGGGCAAGUGUUGUUAACAGAACAUCAGCAUGUUGCAUACUGUGAACUAGACUGAUUUUUAGCAGCACUUCGUGGUUCACUUUUGGAUAUUCCUCCCUCCCCUCUGAUUUAACAGUACAUCAGUUCUUUUAUGAGUGCAAGUUUUCAUACACAGAAGCAAGUAGAUGGUUUGAAUUCUUUGUUGUAUGUCUUGAUGCUGCUUUUGAAUGUGGAAUGAUACAAAAACUCACUGUUGCAGUAAAAAGAAACCAAAGGUCACUUCAGUGUUUAAUGUUUUUGUAUUGGGAAUCUCCUGUGAAAAAAGCAUUUAAUACAUUGUGUUUUCUUUUUUAAACAUUUCUUAUAAAAGCUCUACAGAGGAAACAACAUCUAACUAUAGAGCAAACAUGCUUUACAAAUAUGUGUGUAUUAUGUGUAAGAUAUGUGAGUUACCAAUCUUCUUUCUCCUACCUUCACUAAAUUUACUUGAAAAUACUUUCCUUGUUUAAUGUGAAUUUAACCUACACAAAGCAUAGCUGUUGUCUUGAUUAUUCUGCAUAACGCAACAAUUCCAGUGUAGCUGCAAAGCCAGUGCCUAGAUUCUUGUCUCAAAAUGAGACAAAUCUUGUUUAAAAGCACAACAAACACCAGUUAUGUCAUGCUUCUGAUAAUGAAGUCGGAGGCACUUCACAGUCAUAUAGUGGAAAAGCAUUUUAAAUGAUGUCAUAACAAAGAAGAAUAUUUAGUUCUAGCUACCUGGGUGUUAUCUCAAACAAGUUGUGUAAGAUUUAUUUUAUAGUAAUUGCUUACAUAUUGAAACUUUGUAGCAGGAUUUAAUUUGAAUCCCACUCAGAAUACCUGCUGUGGCUUUUAGAAUGGUAGUCAAGAGCUUUUCAAGC
This 2894-nucleotide long non-coding RNA is filed under the name Melopsittacus undulatus (budgerigar). Its description in RNAcentral is "lncRNA (ENSMUNG00000021790.1)". The record is from RNAcentral. Lineage: Eukaryota; Metazoa; Chordata; Aves; Psittaciformes; Psittaculidae.